This 227-nucleotide unclassified non-coding RNA is filed under the name uncultured fungus. Its description in RNAcentral is "sequence contains ITS1, 5.8S rRNA gene". The stretch from base 179 to 227 matches the Rfam family "5.8S ribosomal RNA", at positions 1 to 49 of the family's 154-position model. Lineage: Eukaryota; Fungi. The record is from RNAcentral.
UCUCCGUAGGUGAACCUGCGGAGGGAUCAUUACUGAGUGAGGGCUCACGCCCGACCUCCAACCCUUUGUGAACCAAACUUGUUGCUUCGGGGGCGACCCUGCCGUUUCGAUGGCGAGCGCCCCCGGAGGCUCAUCAAACACUGCAUCUCUGCGUCGGAGUAUUAGUAAAUCUAAUCAAAACUUUUAACAACGGAUCUCUUGGUUCUGGCAUCGAUGAAGAACGCAGC